This 440-nucleotide ribosomal RNA is filed under the name uncultured bacterium. RNAcentral describes it as "partial 16S ribosomal RNA". It matches the Rfam family "Bacterial small subunit ribosomal RNA", at positions 338 to 795 of the family's 1533-position model. The record is from RNAcentral.
CCUACGGGUGGCAGCAGUGGGGAAUAUUGCACAAUGGGGGAAACCCUGAUGCAGCGACGCCGCGUGGGUGAAGAAGUAUCUCGGUACGUAAAGCCCUAUCAGCAGGGAAGAAAAUGACGGUAUCUGACUAAGAAGCACCGGCUAACUACGUGCCAGCAGCCGCGGUAAUACGUAGGGGGCAAGCGUUAUCCGGAUUUACUGGGAGUAAAGGGAGCGUAGACGGGAGCACAAGUCAGAAGUGAAAUCCCAUGGCUUAACCACAGAACUGCUUUUGAAACUGUGCGGCUGGAGUGCAGGAGGGGUAGGCGGAAUUCCUGGUGUAGGGGUGAAAUGCGUAGAGAUGAGGAGGAAUACUGGUGGCGAAGGCGGCUUACUGGAAUGUAACUGACGUUGAGGCGCGAAAGCGUGGGGAGCAAACAGGAUUAGAUACCCGAGUAGUC